This 677-nucleotide small RNA is filed under the name Pongo abelii (Sumatran orangutan). RNAcentral describes it as "retained intron". Lineage: Eukaryota; Metazoa; Chordata; Mammalia; Primates; Hominidae. The record is from RNAcentral.
AGGUAUUAUUAAUUUAUGUAAACCUGGAAAUUCUGGGAUCCAGUCUCUAAUAGGAGUACUUUGCAUACCAAAUAUGGAAAUAAGGCGAGGUCUACUUGAAGUGCUUUAUGAUAUCUUUCGUCUUCCUCUACCUGUUGUGACUGAGGAGUUCAUAGAAGCACUACUCAGUGUAGAUCCAGGGAGGUUCCAAGACAGUUGGAGGCUUUCAGAUGGCUUUGUGGCAGCUGAGGCAAAAACUAUUCUUCCUCAUCGUGCCAGAUCCAGGCCAGACCUCAUGGAUAAUUAUUUGGCACUGAUACUCUCUGCAUUUAUUCGUAAUGGACUUUUAGAGGUAAGACUUAUAAACCUUAUUUUAUUCCAUUUUGUUUAUUUUCUCUAACAGAUUCUUUCAGGCCAGGCGUGGCGGCUCACGCCUGUAAUCCCAACACUUUGAGAAGCCAAGGCAGGCGGAUCAGUUUAGGCCAGGAGUUAGAGACCAGCCUGAACAACAUGGUGAAACUGUGUCUCAACUAAAAAUACAAAAAUUAGCCACGUAUGGUGGCACACCCCUGUAGUCCCAGCUACUUGGGAGGCUGACACACGAGAAUUGCUUGAACCUGGGAGGCAGAGGUUAUACUGAGCCGAGAUCUUGCCGUUGCAUUCCAGCCUGGGCAACAGAGUGAGACUCUUGUCUAAAG